Callithrix jacchus (white-tufted-ear marmoset) is the source of this 2113-nucleotide non-coding RNA. The record is from RefSeq and is a predicted model, not a curated record. NCBI's taxonomy places the organism in Eukaryota, Metazoa, Chordata, Mammalia, Primates, Cebidae.
CCGACGGCCGUCUCCUACCCACAGUACCUCGCGCCUAUCCCCUCCCCCCGCCACCCGCCUCCUGCGGAGGAGUCCAAUCCUAGAAGACACCUGGCUGCGCGAGGUCUGCCGGGAAAUGUGGUCGCAGGCAAUCUGGUCACUUAGGACGCUCUGUGUUAAUUUCUUGCGCAAUUCUCUUCUAAAUCACCAGAGUUGUCAAUCGGCUUUUGCGGACCCGGAUUAGAGUUUUUAGGGUUCCUCUCUAUUAAGCAUGGGUACACAGACUACCAAGAUUUGGCCCUGUUCACAAGAAAGGUCUCAAAAGUUAUGUCAAGAGAUGCUUAAAUGACACUGAAGAGACCUCAACCAUGAAUGUAGCAACAGUGGAUGUCUGCUAUAGAAAUACAGUAGAAGGAACAUAAAUUCUGAAGGGGCAUCACUGAAAAUUACAGGAAUUUCAACAGGAAGAUACAUCUGAAUUGGAUCUCGAAAUGGGGAGUUUGUGAAAUAGAAAGUGUGAAAGAAAAGGAGGACACAAGCAAGGAGCCACGAAAGACAAUUUGUCCAAGAGAGGAGUAGUAGAAACUGACAAAGGCUGGAGUGCAAUGGCGCGAUCUGGGCUCACUACAACCUCUACCUCCUGGGUUCAAGCAAUUCUACUGCCUCAGCCUCCCGAGUAGGUGGGACUACAGGUGAGUGCCACCACGUCCAGCUAAGUUUUGUAUUUUUAGUAGAGACUGUAUUCCACCAUGUUGGCCAGGAUGGUCUCAAUCUCUUGACCUCAUGAUCCACCCCGUGCCUCAGCCUUCCUAAAUGCUGGGAUUAUAGGAGUGAGCCACUGUGCCUGACCUAUGUAGGCUUUAAUAUCUUAAUUUUACAAAUGAUUGGGACUACAGUUAGAUAAGUGGGUGAAGCAGAGUCCAAAUAUUAAACAAGUAUGACUCUUAAGUUCUUAAAAACACAUUCUCUUCUCUUUUCUGUAUCUCUAAACAACUAACAGUGUUAGAAGGAAAAAAAAAGAUGUUAUGAAUUGAACAAAUUCAUCCAUUUUCACUAAUGCAUAACUAAUAUCAAGGUAGGUGUGAUCUCAGCUUACUGUAACCUCCGCCUCUCAGGUUCAAGUGAUUCUCCUGCCUCAGCCUCCCGAGGAGCUGGGACCAUAGGUGUGUGCCACCAUGCCUGGCUAAUUUUUGUAUUUUUAGUAUAGACAGAGUUUCAUCAUGUUGGCCAGGCUGGUCCUGAACUCCUCUAAAGUGAUCCAACUGCCUUGGCCUCUCAAAGUGCUGGAAUUACAGGCUUGAGUCACCACACUGUUAGAUAUAUAUAUAUAUUUUUGAGACAAGGUCUGGUUCCAUUGUCCAUGCUAGAGUGUAGUGGUGCAAUCACAGCUCACUGCAAUCUCCUGGGCUCUCAAGUAAUCCACUUGCCUCAGUCUCCCGAGUAGCCUGGACUACAGGCAUGUGCCACCAUAGCCAGCUUUUUUUUUUUUGUAUUUUUGGCCUGUCUUGGCCUCCCAAAGUGCUCAGAUUACAGACAUCAACCCUGCCUAAUAAUUUGAUUUUGUAUUAGAUGUAAAAAGGUUUAUUAUCUCUGAUUCUGAAAAUGUGCCAUAAGGAAGCAAUUUAAAAGAAGAAAAUAAAAUGCUAAAUGCUACAUAUUAUGACAGUAUAAGAUUAGAAAGAGGUGAGCAAAGUGGGUCAUGCCUGUAACUGAAGCACUUUGGGAGAAUGAGGCAGGAGGAUUACUUAAGUCCAGAAGUUUGAGACCAGGUCAAUCUAGUGAGAUCCUGACUCUACAAAAUUUUUGCUCUACAAAAAAGCAAAAAUUAGCUGGUCAUGGUGGCUCAUGCCUGUAGUCCCCAUUACUUGGGAGGCUGAGGUGGGGGGAUUGCGUAAGCACAGGAGUUUGAGGUUAUAGUAUGCUAUGAUCAUGCCACUGCACUCUAACCUGGGAGACAGAGGAAGAUCUUGUCUCGAAAAGAAAAGAAAAAGAAAAGAUUAGAAAGAGAAGACAAAUAAUGCAGGAGAGAUGAAGACAAUGAAGGUAUAGUUAUACUGUGAAUUUUUACCACGCAGGCAUUAAAAAUAAUAGAGUAUUAUAGAACCAUGGAGAAAAUACUUAUGAUAAAAAGUGA